RNAcentral lists this long non-coding RNA (277 nucleotides) under Prunus persica (peach). Its description in RNAcentral is "long non-coding RNA (PPER_LNC007302)". The record is from RNAcentral. Lineage: Eukaryota; Viridiplantae; Streptophyta; Magnoliopsida; Rosales; Rosaceae.
UGUGUACGUAGUCCCUUAAUCCCACUUUCAUUAGCAGUGUUGGUCUUACCGUCAUAUUUGUUAAAUUCAGGGGUAAAAUCUAGCCACCAUCACUCAUAUCAGCGACUCUCACCACCACUUCGUACCCAAAUUCACCGUUUCCACCACAACAAGAACAAACAACAAAACCCAAUUGCCUUCUUUUGAGUUUUUUUUUAAAAUGUACAUGUCCCAUCAAACAUCCAAGUUCACCCCACUAUGUUUUUUUUUUUUUGAAAACCUUAAAAUACAACUAUAC